AACAUUGUCCUCAUUUGGGUGUCUAAUAUUGGUGUCAAUAACAACUCCAAGGCACUCUUUCUUUCUAUGUGUUUGAGUGUGUCUUGUUGGUCUUUGCUUCUAAUUUAGUAAAGUGUUCUCAUUAUAGAUUUAAGCAAUAUUGAGUUGUUGGAAGAAAUAGCUUAUACACUCAUGGAAUUGGGAUCCACAAAGGGUUCAACUACUCAACAUAAUAGCUAAUUCACUAGAGAUCAACCCUUUUUGAUGCU
This 248-nucleotide long non-coding RNA is filed under the name Vitis vinifera (wine grape). RNAcentral's name for it is "long non-coding RNA (VVIN_LNC007540)". Lineage: Eukaryota; Viridiplantae; Streptophyta; Magnoliopsida; Vitales; Vitaceae. The record is from RNAcentral.